GAUGGAUCAUUGUCGAAGCCUGCGUAGCAGAACGACCCGCGAACAUGUAAUAACAGCCUGGUGGCAUAGGGAUUGGGCUUUUGUCCGAACCCUAUGGCGCCUUGUUGAUUUUCGUCCAUGGUUUCCCCUUUGCGGAAUCCUAGACGUCUAAUCAGCACAACAACAAACCCCGGCACGGCAUGUGCCAAGGACAAGCAAACUUGAAAAGGGCUCGUGCCAUGCUGCCCCGUUCGCGGUGUGCGCAUUGGAACGUAGCAUCUUUGUAACCACAAACGACUCUCGGCAACGGAUAUCUCGGCUCACGCAUCGAUGAAGAACGUAGCAAAAUGCGAUACUUGGUGUGAAUUGCAGAAUCCCGUGAACCAUCGAGUUUUUGAACGCAAGUUGCGCCCGAAGCCACUCGGCCGAGGGCACGUCUGCCUGGGCGUCACGCAUCGCGUCGCCCCCUCACCGUGCUUCCCUGAUCGGGAUGUCUAGGGUGGGGGCGGAUAUUGGUCUCCCGUGCCUAUGGUGUGGUUGGCCGAAAUAGGAGUCCCCUCUGACGGACGCACGACAAGUGGUGGUUGACAAAACCUUCGUCUCGUGUCGCGUGUUUUGAGUCGUGAGGGAAGACCUCAUAAACUACCCCAAUGUGUCGUCUUGUGACGACGCUUCGACCGCGACCCCAGGUCAGGCGGGACUACCCGCUGAGCUAAGCAAUCC
RNAcentral lists this unclassified non-coding RNA (702 nucleotides) under Pegolettia retrofracta. RNAcentral's name for it is "sequence contains ITS1, 5.8S rRNA gene, ITS2". The stretch from base 275 to 430 matches the Rfam family "5.8S ribosomal RNA". Lineage: Eukaryota; Viridiplantae; Streptophyta; Magnoliopsida; Asterales; Asteraceae. The record is from RNAcentral.